RNAcentral lists this ribosomal RNA (318 nucleotides) under uncultured eukaryote. RNAcentral's name for it is "partial 18S ribosomal RNA". It matches the Rfam family "Eukaryotic small subunit ribosomal RNA", at positions 1470 to 1796 of the family's 1831-position model. The record is from RNAcentral.
CCCUUAGAUGUUCUGGGCCGCACACGCGCUACACUGAAGGAGGCAGCGUGUACUCCUGGAUCGAAAGAUUUGGGUAACCCGCGAAUCUCCUUCGUGCUAGGGAUUGAGGUUUGCAAUUAUCCUUCAUGAACGAGGAAUUCCCAGUAAGUGCAAGUCAUAAGCUUGCGCUGACUACGUCCCUGCCCUUUGUACACACCGCCCGUCGCACCUACCGAUUGAAUGGUCCGGUGAAAUCUCGGGACGGCGGCUUGGUCGCUUGCGUCCGACUGCUGAAACUUGAUUAAACCAUAUCAUUUAGAGGAAGGUGAANUCGUANCA